Non-coding RNA from Vicugna pacos (alpaca), 627 nucleotides. NCBI's taxonomy places the organism in Eukaryota, Metazoa, Chordata, Mammalia, Artiodactyla, Camelidae. The record is from RefSeq and is a predicted model, not a curated record.
AGAGAUCUUUUACGCAACAAUAUUUCCCAUGACAAAGAUACAUUUAUUUGAAAUAUGGUGAUUCCUCCAGUUUUGUUUUAGUUUUUUUCUUCUAUGAAGUUCAAGUAAAAUUACAAUGAUCAUUUUUGGUUUAAAAAAGAAACUUGUAUACAAAUGUUCACACCAGAAUUAAUCCUAAUAGACAAAAAGGCUACAAAUCUGUGGGGCCACCAGACCCGCCCCCGAGGUCCCGAAAGCCAAUCCGCGCGCACGCUUCCCGGCCCCGCCCCGGCGUCCUCCUCCGCCCCGCCCCUCCCUCCGUCCACCAGAAGGUCAGUUUGUCAGGCAGGCAGGGGGCGUCCUGUCCGAGCAGCUGGAGGUUCUGCGUUUCUCCCGAGCGGCUCUGGCCUUGCUCCCUCCGGCCAGCGGCGGCGGCUGCAGCGGCGGCAGCGCAGUCCCUCCGGGAGGCGCGGUGUGGGCCGAGCGGCUGCCGCUGAGCUUCGUGGCCAGCGCCGCGGCCGCGGCGGCGGCGGCGGCGGCGCGGCCCCGAGAUGGUCCGCGGCAGGUAUUCGACGUGGGUGGCGCUCCAGCAACCUGCUAAACCGGCGAGGGCUCCCCCGACGUGAUGUGCUCUCAUAAACUGUGGAU